GAAAAGAAGUUUCUAUGGCCCCCUUGCUCAUUUAACACUGCAUCCGGGUGUCGAUGGAGAUACAGCGACCCUUGCCCACUUAUCACUGUGCUUGGGCCACACAGUGCGCCACUUACGGGUGACGCUCUAGCUUUAGCGCGAUUUCGUUCUGGAUUCAUUUUCAUAAGGAUUCGACGUAACCGAGGAGUGCCAGCUGUCGACUACCUGACGCCCUCCCCCUCCUCCUUUAUCCGGGCUUGGGACCGGCAAUGUAAGUUUCCUCGACCCUAUAAGAAUGCAUUGAAAAAAUUCGAUCUUUAAUUUAAAAUAUUUAUACUAGUAAAAUCUUAUUUUAUACUUGAUGGGGAAGUAAAACAUUAACUCUAAGUGUUUGUUUAAUCUACCGUUUUGACUCGAUAUGCAAACUACGAAACUUUUUUCAACAAUCCAACUGUCAAACUUAUUUGUAAACACUCCGAGAUUGCAUACGUAAAAAAUCGUAAAAAAACAAACAUUUAGAGAUUACAUAACGGAACAAAAGUUUUCGAUGGUUAUAAAUGAAAAUUCACAAUUUAACGGUUAUUUUAGCUUCGAUUUUAAUGAUUUUUUAUAGCUACACUCUUUGACCCCAUAAGAAUGUAAUGAAUAAAUUUGAUCUUCAAUUUAAAAUAUUUACAUUAGUGGAUACCACAAAAUCUUAUUUUAUACUUAAUGGAAGUAUAACAUUAACUUUAAGUGUUUAUUUAAUCUACUGUUUUGAUGCGAUAUGCAUUUUAUGAAGUGUUUUUCAAUGAUCCAAUCGUCAAACUUGUUUGUACACACUCCGAGAUCGCAUACGUAAAAAUCACAAAAAAUAAACAUUAAGAGAUUAUGUAACAAAACAAAAGUUUUCGACUAUUAUGUUGGAAGUAUGCCCACAAAGCCACUCAUUUGAUGUAAUAGCUUUUGGAAUACUUAUUGU
RNAcentral lists this long non-coding RNA (940 nucleotides) under Malus domestica (apple). Its description in RNAcentral is "long non-coding RNA (MDOM_LNC013769)". Lineage: Eukaryota; Viridiplantae; Streptophyta; Magnoliopsida; Rosales; Rosaceae. The record is from RNAcentral.